CAGUGAUCGUUGAUCCAGUCGC
This 22-nucleotide non-coding RNA is filed under the name Arabidopsis thaliana (thale cress). The record is from RNAcentral. Lineage: Eukaryota; Viridiplantae; Streptophyta; Magnoliopsida; Brassicales; Brassicaceae.